AAUAGAUACCCCGGUAGUCCACGCCGUAAACGAUGAGUGCUAAGUGUUAGAGGGUUUCCGCCCUUUAGUGCUGAAGUUAACGCAUUAAGCACUCCGCCUGGGGGAGUACGGCCGCAAGGCUGAAACUCAAAGGAAUUGACGGGGGCCCGCACAAGCGGUGGAGCAUGUGGUUUAAUUCGAAGCAACGCGAAGAACCUUACCAGGUCUUGACAUCCUCUGACAACCCUAGAGAUAGGGCUUCUCCUUCGGGAGCAGAGUGACAGGUGGUGCAUGGUUGUCGUCAGCUCGUGUCGUGAGAUGUUGGGUUAAGUCCCGCAACGAGCGCAACCCUUGAUCUUAGUUGCCAUCAUUCAGUUGGGCACUCUAAGGUGACUGCCGGUGACAAACCGGAGGAAGGUGGGGAUGACGUCAAAUCAUCAUGCCCCUUAUGACCUGGGCUACACACGUGCUACGAAUGGACGGUACAAAGAGCUGCAAGACCGCGAGGUGGAGCUAAUCUCAUAAAACCGUUCUCAGUUCGGA
RNAcentral lists this ribosomal RNA (522 nucleotides) under uncultured bacterium. Its description in RNAcentral is "bacterial SSU rRNA". It matches the Rfam family "Bacterial small subunit ribosomal RNA", at positions 777 to 1297 of the family's 1533-position model. The record is from RNAcentral.